RNAcentral lists this long non-coding RNA (24435 nucleotides) under Nicotiana benthamiana. Its description in RNAcentral is "long non-coding RNA (NBEN_LNC026836)". The record is from RNAcentral. Lineage: Eukaryota; Viridiplantae; Streptophyta; Magnoliopsida; Solanales; Solanaceae.
CUCUAUUUUCUAUUUAUAGUGAGAUAAUAAAUUUAUGUGUUGACGUUAGGUCUUCCUCCAUGUCGGAUGAAUUUACUAUGAACUCACUGGAUUUAGUUACUAGUUAUUGAUAACUUGUAUUAGCUCUCUAUCUGAGUUUAAGGGUUGAACCAAUUUUGUAACUAAAAUAAAAUCAUGAUUAAGUGGUGACAGAAAUAUAUUUCUAUGAUCUUCUACUAUUAAUUUCAAGUGUGUAAUAAAGACUUUAGGUCUUCUUUCAUAUCGGAUAAAUUUAUUGUAAGCUCACUAGGUGGAAUACUAGUAAUUGAUAUCGUGUACUUACUCUCCAUCUGAGUAUACAUGUUGGAUAAAUGGAACUAGAGUUAUUAAAAAUGAUGUUCACUUGACUUAAAUUAACAGUAUACUCUCCAUUUGAGUUAGGUAUGUCUUAAUUAUUGGAGUGAAUAAUCUGGCAUUACAUAUGUAUGUUGCAUGAGUAGUUCUUUUUCCAUCGAAAUUGCUAUUCAAGAUGCAUGGCAUAUAUGUGCAGUGUGUUUAAAAUUUUUGUAUUAAAAAGUUAUAUAUAAUUGACUGAAAAUAAUAGUAUACUCUCCAUCUGAGUUGGCACUAUUUAUUAUUGAAUUGUAUAAUUCUUGCAUUAUGUAAUAUACUUUGCAUGAAUGAUUUUUUUCCCAUUGAAAUUUGUUAUUCGAGAUGCAUGUAUGUACAUAAAUAUUGAAUGCAAUCUGAAUUUUAGUAUUCAGUGUUUGACUUAUUAUGAUCUAUUUAAUGCUUUUAUCUCAACUCCAUAAUGAAUUUAUGCAAUUUGUCGUAGUACUUGUUAAAAUUUUCUUUUAGUGAAAAGAUAUUAAUUUAAAAGAUGAAAUAUAUAUACUUUUUGUUAGAAAAAAUUUAAUUCCAGUUUCUGGACAAAAUAAGAGAUGAAUAUUUAUUUUAUUUUUCGAAUAACUCUUGAGUUAUUGAGCUUGAUAAAUAUUUUCUCUUAUGGUACAUGAAUGCAUGACCUUAUUGUUGUAUAUUAAUGUCUCUCCUGAACAGAACAAUAAUAGUCUACCUCAUAAGAGAAUAUGUUCUUCAAAAUUGAGUAAAACUUAUCUAUGCACUUCUGUCUAAGCCAUAUUAAUCUGGAUAGGAUUUCAAAUUGGUCAAAGAUGGACCUUAAGGUCCAUUAAAAAUAGAGUCCUAAGUCAUAUUAAUUAAGAUAGGAUUUCAAGUUGGUCAAGGAUGGACCUUAACGUUCAUUGAAAGUAGAGGCACUGCCAACCUUUUUUUUUGGUAAUUAAGGAUUUCAUUAAUCACCAAUGAAAUAACAUUACAAAAUCAUAGUUUAGCUUUAAACUCAUCUGACUAUCUAUACUAUAACAAUUUAACUGUAUCUAAUGUCCUAACUACCUACCAAUACUAUAUUUGAAGAUGUUGUAAGUGGUUUCUAAUUCGUGGGGUACCUCUAACAUUACAANNNNNNNNNNNNNNNNNNNNNNNNNNNNNNNNNNNNNNNNNNNNNNNNNNNNNNNNNNNNNNNNNNNNNNNNNNNNNNNNNNNNNNNNNNNNNNNNNNNNNNNNNNNNNNNNNNNNNNNGGGCUUCAUUGCAACGAAAUGUCUUGUUGAAGAUUCUUGAGUUCCUUUCCAGCCAGAUAAUAUAUGCAAACUCAGCAACUACCAUUUUGAAGAUGGCGGCUCAACAUGUUCGACCCUUGGCUUUACUUAUGAUCCACUGCAUUUUUUGGUUCCAGGCAUUAAGGUGAGGAUAAGUCUCCUUCAGCCAGUGCAUUGUUUUCUCCCAUAAUUCAAUAGUGACUGGGCAGAAUAGUAGCAAGUGAUAUCUGGUCUCUGGAUGGUUUUGGCAUAAGUUACAUUGCUGAUCAACACUCAUUCCCCAUCUGUGCAAUCUGUCUUUUGUUGGAAGACUAUCUUGUAAGAACAACCGUAGAUUGAAGGUUGCCUUUGACCUUGCAUAGUUUUGUAUGAUCAAAUUCUUGUCUAUCUUUUGUUGGUAAUCUAUCUUGUAAGAACAACCAUAGAAUGAAUGUUGCCUUUGGCCUUGCAUACUUCUGUAUGAUCAAAUUCUUCCAUGGGACUCUCAGCAGGUCUUGAAGCUGUAAAUGGUAUAGUUGUCUAAUUGAGUAGCCCUGCUCCUUCCAGUGUUGAAACCUCUGCAAAACUUCUCUUGAUUGGAUGAUCUUUCUGACCAUCCAGCUUGUUCGUGCAGGAAUUGGCAUGGUUUCAAUAGGUCUGUUUUUGAUGUAGUAUACAGUUAUCCAUCUAAUCCACAGUUUAUCCUUUUUAUAAGCUAGAUCCCAGCAUGUCUUUGCAAUGGCAGCUUUAUUCCAGAGCUUGAGAUUAGUAAGAUUCCUUAUCCACAGUUUGUCCUUUUUAUGAGCUAGAUCCCAGCAUGUCUUUGCAAUGGCAGCUUUAUACCAGAGCCUGAGAUUAGUAAGAUUCAUCCCUCCUGCUGAUUUUGGGGUACACAUUCUGUCCCAAGAGAUAUAUGCUUUCCUAGUGAUAGAGUUCAACCCAUACCAAAUGAAGCUCCUACAAAUGGCUUCUAUCAUCUUCAGGACUUUAACAGGGAAUAUGAACAAUUGUGCCUAGUAAGUUUGGAUACCAAAAAUGACAGAUUGGACCAGUUGGAUUCUCCCAGUAUAAGACAAUGUCUUUGCAGUCCAUGAGGUGAUCUUGGUAGUGAUCCUUUCCACCAGAGGUUGCCAUUGGAGCAAUGUGAUUUUCUUGGUGGACAGGGGGACACCUAGGUACUUGAAUGGUAACUCACCUUGCUCAUAGACAAAGUGGUCGAUAAUCUGUUUCUGAAUAUCCAGUGCAACACCACAAAAGUAAACAGAGCUCUUGUUCAGGUUAGCCUGUAAGCCAGAUGCUUCUGAGAAUUGAGAGAAGCAUCUGGAUAAGGCUAUGACAGAGGUAGUGUCACCUUUGGCAAACAGCNNNNNNNNNNNNNNNNNNNNNNNNNNNNNNNNNNNNNNNNNNNNNNNNNNNNNNNNNNNNNNNNNNNNNNNNNNNNNNNNNNNNNNNNNNNNNNNNNNNNNNNNNNNNNNNNNNNNNNNNNNNNNNNNNNNNNNNNNNNNNNNNNNNNNNNNNNNNNNNNNNNNNNNNNNNNNNNNNNNNNUGUCACCUUUGGCAAACAGCAGCAAAUCAUCAGCAAAACACAUGUGAGUAAUACCUAGUUUUUUACAUCUAGGGUGGAACUGAUAUGCUGGAUUUUCCUUUAGUGAGUUGCAUGAUCUGCUCAAGUACUCCAUCACCAGAGCAAAUAGGAAGGGGAAAUAGGGUCCCCUUGCCUAAGUCCCCUAGCAGCAGCAAAGGGUUCAGUUGCCUCUCCGUUGGCUAGCACAGAGAAGCUCACUGUUGAGAUGCAUUCCAUUAUCCAUUUGGUGAAAGUGCUGGGGAAGCAAUCUGUUCCAUAACCUGCUGUAAGAAUGUCCAUUCUACUAAGUCAUAAGCUUUCUGGAGAUCGAUUUUAAUCAUGCAUCUGGGAGACACAUGUUGUCUGGUGUAGCUUUUGACUAGUGCAUGUGCCAAAAUGAUGUUGUCUUGGAUCUUUCUGCCUGGGAUGAAUUCAUAGGCUUUCUGGAGGUCAAUUUUAAUCAUGCAUCUGGGUGACACUUGUUUUCUGGUAUAGCUUUUGACUAGUUCGUGUGCCAGAAUGAUAUUGUCUGUUAUCUUUCUGCACGGAAUAAACCCUGCUUGGGCUUCACUGAUAAUUCGUGCCAUCACCUUCUGCAUCCUAUUGGCCAGUAUUUUUGAGAUCAUUUUGUAGAGGACAGAGAAGCAAGCAAUUGGCCUAUACUCUUUGACUGUAGUUGGUUUGGACACUUUAGGAAUUAGGGUAAUAGUGGCAUAGUUGAUGGGUUUGUACAUCUUGGUUGAGGAGAAAAAUUGCUUGAUGCCACUGGUAACCUGCCUGCCAAUGAUUCUCCAGCUCUUUUUGAAAAAAAACAGCAUUGUAACCAUCUAUCCCUGGUGCUUUAUCAUCUCUAGCCUUGAGACUCUCCACAAUUUCCAUAUCAGUUACAUCAGCACAUAGAUCCUUUCUUUGUUGUUGUGUUUUCCUUGGUCCAUUUGUCAUGUACAUUUGAUUCAUAGCUGGCAGGGUGGAUACAGAAGUUCCCAUCAGUGCCUUGUAGAAUCCAAUGAUCUUCUUUUUUAUAUCUUCAGCUGUAGCGAUUUUGGUACCCAUUGCAUUUGUAAGUUCAGUAAUCGGUUGUGUUGGGUUCUCUCCUUCUUAACUGCAGAGAAAUAUUUAGUGUUGGAAUCUCCAAGCUGUAUCCAUUUUGCUCUGGCCUUCUGCAGCAGAACACUUUCCUCAAUCAUUGACCAUUUUUCCAGUUUCAGCACUAGCUCCUUCUCCUUCUACUGCAAGACAUCAGAGUAUGCCUGUGUCAUCUGAGCUUGUAUUGUCCCUCGUUCCUGUCUGCUAAGGUCUAUUCUCUGUGAGAUAGUCUUGAAUUCCUUAAUAUUUAGGUCCUUCAGAGGACUUUUCAGAGCUUUGAGUUUAGACCACAUUGCUUUCAUAGUGCCUGAAUUUCCAGUAUGCAAAACACUUGCCACAAUCUGAUGGAAAUCUUCAUGAUCAGCCCAUAUAUUAAAGAACUUGAAAGGUUUUUUCCCAUUCCAGGAAGAUGAUGUCAAUGUCACUAUCAUGGGAUUAUGAUCUGAUAUUAGAGGAAGGUCAUAUUCAGUUACCACUUGGUUCCACUUGAUCAUCCAUCUCAUAGUUACCAAAUACCCUAUCCGGUCUGCUGCAUACUCUGUCCACUCCAGUCUGCUUAUUUGUCCAGGUGUAGUAUCACCCCUCCAAGGCAAUUCUGACAAUCUAGCUUGUUGAAUACAUUUAUUGAAGUCUUGGGUUUCAGGGAGUCUUACAGGUUUGCAAGACUGCCUAUCUUUGUCACAUAAGAUUUUGUUUUUUCUAAUAUACUCCCGAACUUCUUUUUGCUUGUAUCUUUUAUUUACACCUCUUAUAUUUCAAAAUAACCACUUCAUGUUGAGAAUUUGAUCCCCCUUGCUCCCCUGGGGGGUCUUCUUUACUACCAGAAACUACCUCAAACCUAUUACUGAUAGUGAUGGGGGACAAAGGUGGGAAAUUAGUGAUGUUGAAAACUCGGCUCUGAGGUUGUUUCCCUUUAUCGCUACCUUUGUCAACCAUCUGGCUCUAGACUAUCUUGGUUUCAGUAGGGACUCCCUUUGGUUUAUUAUGGUGCAUUGGUAAUUGUUUCUGUAGUGGCAGCCAUCUGGCUCUGGACUAUCUUGGUUUCAGUAGGGCCUCCCUUUGGUUCAUUAUGCUUCACUGGUUAUUUCUGUGGUGGCACAUUUUGCAUAGGGCCCUUAGUUCUUCAUUCCUGGACUACCUUUGGCUUCCACACUUGUGUGUGCUGUUUUGUGAUUUGCUUUGGCUGCAUUGCACAGUUGUGUCCUAUUGUUUGGCAUUUAUCACAAUAGGAGGGCUUCCACUCAUAAACCACCUCUUGAAGGAACUUUUUCCCAUUCGGAUCCAUAACCCAUAUCUCUGUUGGCAGUUCUUUAGUGACAGUCACCUCUAUGAGCAUUCUGGCGUAGGAAAUCCUUGUCUGUUUUGUUGUACAUUCAUCUGCAAAUAUUGGUUUCCCUAAUACGCUAGCGAUUCUGCAUAGAGAUCUCAUACCCCAGAAAGAAUUCGGAUCCAUAACCCAUAUCUCUGUUGGUAGUUCUUUAGUGACAGUUACCUCUAUGAGCAUUCUGGCGUAGGAAAUCCUUGUCUGUUUUGUUGUACAUUCAUCUGCAAAUAUUGGUUUUCCUAAUACGCUAGCGAUUCUGCUUAGAGAUCUCAUACCCCAGCACAACAUUGGAUGUUUCGGAAACUUUACCCAUAAUGGGAUAUCAGUCGGGAACUCUUUGAAAAAAUCAAAUUCAGGUGUCCAUUGCUUGAUUAUCAUAGGCCUAUUGGCUAUUGAGUGAGGUCCUUCACAUAGUAUCUCUUUGGCAUCAGAAAUUGUUUUGAAUUUCACUAUGUAAUAUCCUUCUUCAAUUUACCUAAUACGCUAGCAAUUCUGCUUAGAGAUCUCAUACCCCAGCAAGACAAUAGAAGUUUCCGAAACUUUACCCAUAAUGGAAUAUCAGUCGGGAACUCUUCUGAAAAAUCGAAGUCAGGUGUCCAUUGCUUGAGUAUCAUAGGCCUAUUGGCUAUUGAUUAAGGUCCUGCACGUAGUAUCUCUUUGGCAUCAGAAGUUGUUUUGAAUUUCACUAUGUAAUAUCCUUCUUCAUGGUAGAACAAUUUUGGCUCUAGGACAUGUGACCAGUGAUGAUUGAUGAAUCUCUUUAUUGCAUUGAAGCCAGGCCCGUCUCCUAGGAUGUAUACCACUGAGACACACUUCCAUUUUGCUUCUUCCUCUUCCACCUCCGAUUUAUUCAGCUGUACUAUAGGUUGUCCAUCAAUCAUCACAUGGGGUAUGUAGUAAAGAGCCAUUCCAUGGGUCGCAAAUCGAUUCUUCUGGAAUAGGGUUGUCCAGCUCUUCUUAGGCUCCACUAAGGUGCUUCUGCUAGUAUCUGGGUGUUCCUUUAUCACCGUUGCUGGCUGCAUGGUCAUCUCUUCCGAUGGAUCUGGAACUGCUGGAAUCGGAGGAGAUGUAGCCACUUUGACACCUACUGCAGUCGGAGUUUCCAUAGUCGUGUCAUCCAUACCUACUAUUGCAUCUUGCUGUACUGUCACUACAUUUGCAGCUUGCUCAUCUUCUUCCAUGGUGUCUAGGUUUUGUACAUAGGGGUUCUGCACAUCGUUAGUAUCCUUCUUCUCCAAAAUCAGUUGGUUUAGCUUUUCAAAGGUUUUUAUCGGUAUCUUCCGAGGUCGACCUCUGCCACGGCUGCCGCCUUUCGCCAUAUCUACGAGCUCGGCGUAUGUUAUGCUAACGUGCGCCGAGAGGAAAGGAGAGAGACGGGGAAAUAGGCCAACUUGUAGAUCCUAUUUGAAAGGAAAUUUGACUAAAGGUUAUUUUCCUUCAAAAGGAAAUAAAGCUAGUGAUAAGCUAGAAUAAAUUCCUUCUGAUUUGUAUGGUUAAAUAAACAUACUGAUGAGAGAUAGUUUUGAGUAUUUUUGUGACUUUCAUAAAUGAUCACUCAAAAUAUUAAUAUAUUUAUUCAAUGCACAGUAAAUCUUAAUGAAUUAACUAAAUCAAGAUUUUAAGACUUGAAACGGAGAAGCACGAAGGAAAUAUAUUAAGUUACUACAAUUUAAUUGUACUAGCGAGACCUCUCUAAAGAGUUCUUUUGUCACUUAUCAUAAUAAGAGAUUAUAUCUCAAUUGACUACACCGUAAAUUCCAUAAUAAAGUGGUGUAAUAGAAAGAAGAAAUAAGUCUCUUUUGGACAUGGAUAGACUAAUGACGUAUUAUUCAGAUUCCCUUAUUUGUUUUUGAAAUAUUUCCUAGAAACUGCAAAUUACAUUCUGAAUUUAGUUCCUUCUAAGUUAGUACCUAAGACAUCUAUAGAACAAUGGACUCAAUGUAAGCUCAGUCCGUGACCUUUUCUGGUGUAGACUUGUUCUGCAUAUGUGCUGAAUGAGAAAGCGGAUAUGUAAGUUGGAACUAAGAAUAGAUAAAUGCAUAUUUAUUAAAUAUCCAAGAAACGAAUGGAGUUUCAUUUCAUUGUCCUAAAGAAAAUAAGGCAAAUUGACGUUCAGAUGCAUCGGAACCCACAAGUCGGAAUUGACGUUCCAUUGUAAUUUGAGCAGUGGGAAAAUGUUAAUAGACAUAAUAUGCCUUUAUGGAGUGGGAGUGAUGUUUGAACAGUGAAAAUUAUAGUAAAAAGUCACUAAUAUUUCAAUGUCGUAAAGUAAUGAAGGUAAUAUUAGUAGUACUUCAUCGUACUAGGAGAAUGCUAAAGAAAAUCAUAGUUCGGUAUACACUCUUGGGAAAGUUUCAGUAACAAGAUCCCUUAAGAGUGCAAUACCAAACUAGAUGGUUACGACAAAGCACUAUUGGACAAAUAUUGCAUCAGAAAUAACUUAGUAAGAUUUUUUAACAAAAUCUUAUUUGGUGAAGAUAUUUAAUAAUCAUGUAAAAAAAUGCAUGAGAAAGUUAUAGGUGCAUGAUUAUGAGUCUAAGUGGGAGAUUGUUGGGGAAUAUAUUAUUAACCAUGCAUUUAGAUAUAGUAUAUUCUGACAAUUGUCAUGGUUAAAAAUUUAAGUGGGAUAUUGUUGGGAUAUAUACUAUUAACCAUAGAUUUGGUUUACUUAUAAUAUUUAUUAUGAUAAUAUUAUUCAUUAAAUUGAAGUUUUAACAAAACAUAUAUUGAUUGGUUUCCUUUUCUUAUAUAGUAGAUAAUUUAGAGUAUCGAGUUUAGCUUAUACACGUAAUAUUAAACCAUCGUUUCUAAUAAGUAUAAAUUUUGAAUUCACAAUCUAAUGAUGGAAUUGGACAAACCAUCAGGAAAGAUUGUAGCACAAGAUUAAAUAUAAUUUAUCUUGAUUAUUGAAAUGGUUUAACUUCAACUUCUUGUGCUAGUACAUUUUGUAUGUAUUGAAUGGACCAAGUAGAGAUUAGUAUUUUAUACUGACUUAACAAAAUAAAUUCUCUAGCCAUUAGAUGUACUUAUACUCUUAAUCUUGAUAUAAUUAUUAUUAGCUAUGUAUAUUAUUAUUAGUUUAAUUUAUUAAAAGGCGAGGCUUUUUCGUGGGUCAAUAUGCCUGGUAUUGGAUAAUAAUAAUAAUGUACAUUGGCGAAGUAAUAGUUAGGUGAUAGAAUCCAUGUCUCAGUUUAGAGAUUGGUGAUACACCUUUAUGAAAGCUUAUAAGUUUUCAUGUGUAAACCUAGCCAGUGAAUUUUGUAUCCGACACGUAAAAUAAGUUAAACGAAAGUCUAAAGGAAAGAAUCAACAAAUUAAAUCGUUAGUAAUUUAAUUUAAUUGAUUAAUAUCUGAAUCUUAACAUGGAGAGUUAAUUAAGAUUUAAUGGAUGAAUUUCGAAAUUGAAUAAGGAGUGCAAUUACGAAUUUUUAGUGAAAUAAUUCGUAAUUAAUUAUGGUAGAUAUUAAUUUCGAAAAUUAAAAAUUAAUUCCAUAAUUGGAGCCUUGUUAAUUAAUUAUGUGGUCUCUGUUGUGCUUAAAUAAUAGGAAUAGAGGAAUCUUUAUUCGGGUGGAAAGGAAAACUUAAUAGGUUUUGGAAAAGGGUUUUAACCCAUAAAACUUGUGCUAUGAAUACAUAAGGUUUUCCACCUAGAGGAGGUUGACAUAGUGGCCGAAAUUUUCAGCCCUUUCCUUAGAAAAUUUCGCCCACAUGAAAUUACUAUUUCAGGGUAUUAUUUGGGUAACACAGUAGAAGACCGUGGAACGUUCGAGUAUCACGAUUGCACGGGUGAUAGUGAUUCCAUUGAAAAGUUAUGGAAUUGAAGGCUCACGUGAUAAACGAGUUUUUUUUACGCUUCAAGAUGUAACCCAUGAAAUCCCGUUUAUACUAAUUAUCUAAAUUAAUAUGUGAUAUUGAUACUGGAAUUGCUUGCAAUGCAUAUAAUAAUCCAUCACUUUUAACUACCAAGCUAAGUUGAUUUAUAACAAUAACUAAUUAACCGUCUGCAGCAAGUUUACAUGGCAAUCUAUCAAAUAUAUUACAGCAAAUUACCGUGGAAUCAGAAACACAGUCAAGGAAAUAGUCUCCCCAAAUGCUUCGAUGGUAAUUUGCAGAGGCAGAGGGACGAGAGACUUCUUGAACUCCAACCGGCAAGCCUUUGCUGAAGUCCGUCGUCUUUUUGGAUGAAAGGAUUCAAGGACAAAUAUCUACUCAAAAACUGAUAGAACACUUCUACAUUUGCUUCUGAUAAUGUAGUUAUUUGUAGUGGAGGAUUUGCUUUCUUGCAUGGGGCAAUUCAAUUAAAUUCUCCCACGUUUUUCAGCUUCUUAAUUGAUAUUGUAAGGGUUUUGACAAUAUCAAUGAAUUUUAAUUGAUGAUAGCAUAUUAGUUACUCCGUCUCAAAUUAUCCGUCGUAUUUCUAUUUUACACGUCUCUUAAGAAAAUAUUAAAGAAGAAUAAUUUUUGAUUGUUUUACCCUUAUUUAUGCUUUAAGAUGUAAUCUCUCUUUAUUUAAUAUUUAUUCAAAACUUUUGUAUUUGUGUUCUUCAAGAACCAUUAAUAUUAGGGUUAAUUUCACUAAUGGUCACUCAACUAUGUUUCAAUUCCACUAAAGUCACUCAACUAUUGUUUGUCAUUUCAAAGUAACUAAACUUUCAUAUUGUCACUUAAAACUCAUUUUGGCUCAAACCCCUACCAUAAAUAUGACAUGGCAUAGAAUUUAAUGAGAAAAAAUCAAAAAAGAAAUACCACAUAAGCUUAAAUGGACUAUACCCACUUUAGAUCCAUUUCUCCUUCAAUGUGAUUUGACCUAUAACCCAAAUGGACUUGGGUUAUAAAUUGUGGUUGGAGAAAUGGGCAACAUGGCGUGAUUUUUGGCCACCGUGAUUUAGGCGAACCUACGGGUUUGCCUAAGGCCAACCACAUUCAUGGUGGCCAAAAAUCUCCUGAGCCUUCCGUUGCGUUCACGGUCUUCCCGCCACAUUCGCGAAGGGCAAACUGCUCAGCUCCUACUCCUCGCAUUUAUGACUCCUCUAUCGUGUUCGCAUAAAAAAAUUCCCCUGCCACUCAGUUCCUUCUCUGUGGUCGCAACUCCCCUUUUGCAAGCACAAAAUAGUAGCCCACAAUUCCUUCAUCGUGAACGCGUACCUCUUACCCCUUUCGCUAAGCACAACACUAGCACCAACUAAACAAACCAACUUGGUUUGAAACCAUACCCUAGUCCCCCCGGAACCCAUCCAAUCAUACAAAAUAGUCCCAAUAUCUUAUCCAAACUUAUCCAAAGUUUCAAAAUGCCACAAUUAACAUCAAAACCAUGAAUAAUCUAUCAAAAAUCUUUCUUUUAACUUUAUGUAAUGACCUAGCCGUUCCUUUUGUGUAUUGUAGCCCCUUCCCCUAUUUGUCACUUCCUCUAUGUUAAUCUAUGGUUGGUGACUUGCCGGGGAGUUGGUUCAGUUUAGGGAUGCUUCGGAGAGAAAUAUGACACCUAGUCCCAAGGUUAAAGGCUUAAGUUGAAAGAGUAGAUCGGAAUUUGACUUUUGUAUAGACGACUCUGAAAUAGAAUUCUAAUGUUUCGAUAGUUGCGAAAGGUGUUUUUGGAAUUAGGCAUAUGUACGCAUAUUUAUGUUGAGGUUCGUAGGUUAUUUUGGCUUGAAUUGGAAAAGCAGAAAAGUUAAAAGUACAGAAGAUUGAGAGGUUUGACCGAGAGUUGACUUUGCUGAUAUCGUAUUUGCAAUUUGAUUCCAUGAGUAGGAAUAGGUUCGUUGUGUCAUUUGGGACUAGUAUGUCAAAAUUUUAGAUCAUUCGGAAUUGAUUUGAUAUGGUUCGACAUUGGUUUUAGAGGUUGAAAUAUCAAUUGUUCAUUAGAAUGAAGUUGGGGUGCGAUUCAUAAUUUUGAUAAUCUUUUUAAUGUGAUUUGAGGCUUCUCGUUCCUAUUGUAUUUUAGACCUUACUGAUAUGUGUCGAUGGGAUCCCAAUAGCCUCGGGUGUGGCCCGGAUGGUUGGCGGAGCAUGUUUUGACUUUGAAGAAAGCUGAAGCUUUACGUACUAGUGUGAUCGCUUCUGCGAGAUUAUAGCCGCAGGUGUGAAACUGUAGAAGCGACAGAUGUCACAAAUAUGGUAAUGGUCACUGAUGCGGAACUUGUGCAUCACCUCCUCCUCCUUAUUCUUUUUCAUCCUUUUUACAUGUGCUGUGGAAAAUUAAAGAUCCAUUUAUUUGUAGAUGGUUUGGUUGGAAAACAUGAAGAACCACCAUUAUUGAGUUUUGCUGAGCUUGUUUGUUGAAGAAGGAUUGGUUUGAAUCUAACCAUUAAAAAUUAUUGAAUUGAUAUUAGAAUGUUGAAUAUUAAAUUUGAAGUCACCUGGAGUUAAUUUAGACCAAUUUGAAUUAAUUUUAGUCCAUCAAUUUACAUUCUAUGGCAGAUGUAUCUCAAAUUACCAUGGAAUCAGAAACACAGUCAAGGAAAUAGUCUUCCCAAAUGCUUCGAUGGUAAUUUGCAGAGCGACAAGAUACUUCAUAACUCCCGCCGGCAAACAAACGGUAGACCCAGAAUUUUGUACAAACGGAUUCAGUUAAAGACCAUGGUAGCCAUUUAUAUAAACAGCACUGGUAAAUAAAAUUUGCUCACUACUCAAUUUUGUUAAUCAUAUGGCCUCGAAAUAAAGUCAUUGACGCUCAUUUUUUAAUCAAAGGUGAGAAUUUUUUUUAAAGAAAAACUAUUUAUUUUAAUUUUUGGAAUUUUAUGUAUAUAUAUAAACAAAUUUCACUUCAACAAAUUUAUAAUUUAUUGAUUAAAAAAAAGUAACCAACUUAAAAAUCUUAUUACUCUAAAAAAUUUAACAUAAUAAGUAUUUAAAAAAAAAGUGAAAAAGGGAGUUGUAAACUAAACUAAUUGAUAUAAACUUUUAAAGUAAAAGAAUAAACACCAAAUUAAGAUUUUCAGUAUAACACACAUUAACGAUUCUAACAUAUAUGAACUAAACUACAUUAAAUUAAAAAAUUACAAAUAAUCUCAACAAAACAUUCUCAUGUUUUAGCAGAAACUAGGAAAGAGAGAACCAUAAUUCACUUAGCGGAAAGGUUUUUUUUUGUUUUUUUGAAGUAAAUAGAAUUUACUAAGAAUAACUAUUGUAAAUAUAAGCAAAGAAAAGAAAUCAAAAAGAGAAAUAAAUAUAGGUGAUGGAAAAAAGGGUAACAGGUACAAUAGUUAUAUAACUGGAAAUAAAUAUGCAAUGUGGAAAAUAAUUGUGAAUCCUCUUUGUCACUGCUCUACAACUUUCACAUAUAUUAAGUGGGUUUAUAUUUAUAAUAUUAUUUUUUUAUGAUUUUCUGAUGAAGUUAACAGUUGAAAUUAAUCAAUUUUUUCGACGAAGCAUAUUCAACUGACCCCCUGCCGGCAAGCCUUUGCUGAAAUCCAUCGCCUUUUUGGAUGGAAGGAGGAGACACGAUACAAGGAUAACUAUCUACUUGAAAACUAAUAAAACACUUCGACAUGCUAGUUAACUUACCAAGAUUCCUAGUUAAUUUUGCUUUAGUUAGGAAAAUGACCUUAGCUAAGUAUCAUAGCUCUUAGCUAAAUUUUAGCUAAAAAAUAUGUUAUUCAUUGCUAAUAUAACUAGGGAUAUUUAUUUGGCACAUUAGCUAGGAUAUAUGAUAGUUAAAUUCUACGCAAACAUCGAUUCGUCAUUGUUGACUUUGUUGAAACGUAGCUAAGCUAUUAGCCAGAGAGAAUUUGUUUUCUUGCAUGGGGCCAAUUCAAUUAAAUUCUCCCAUGUUUUUCAGCUUCUUAAUAGAUAUUGUAAGGGUUUCUUUACCAAAGAUGUUAUAAAUUGGAAAAAUUAGCUUAGUAAAGACCUUGUUAAGGCCCAGGAAAACUUUACCAAAGAUGUUAUAAAUUGAAAAAAUUCAACCUUUGGUGAUAUUUUCAAGAAAAAGAGACAAUUACUAGCUAGACUUAAUGGAAUUCAAACAUCUCCCCAUUACGACAGUAGUGACUUCCUUCAAAAUCUUGAAACAACUCUUCAAUUAGAAUAUAAUAACAUCUUACUUAUGGAGCAUGACUUUUGGAAGUUGAGAGCUAAGAGUAAUUGGAUAAGUGAUGGUGAUGCCAACACUAUAUUUUUUUAUAUUAUGGCCUCUAACUGUAAACGUCGUAAUGCCAUUACGUAUUUCACUAAUGAAAAAGGAGAUUGGAUAUCUGAUCCAAACAAAAUCCUAGAUCACUCCUAAGUCGGGUCCUGAAAAGGUAUUAAUGCUUCAAUUAUGUCCAAACUUGGCUUGAUAUUUAAUAGUCCGAUGAGGCUUCCCACAACUUUUACCAUUGUUUCUCUACUGCCAUUUCCUAGAUCAUUCCACCACAUAUGGAGCUUCAGGGGGAUCUCAUUAAGGACUGUAAAGGGUUCAAUUUUAUUCGUGCUCAUCGUGCACAUUUAUUAAGGUAAUUCAAUAACCAAUUUUGUCCUAAAAGGGGAAAUAACAAUAUAUUUUAUUUUUUCCAAAAUGUUUCAUUAUAAAACAAAACCCUAACUUCGCAGAUAUGGCCUUUUAGCACUCCGGGGAAGAAGAUUUAAGGUUGUGCCUGCUAACCGUUAAAAAAUGUUGCAACGUAGUUGUUCUUGCCAAACAUCCUUCCGGCGUCCCUUUGGGGAACAUUCGGCUUAUAUUAAACAAGAAUGGCAUCACCAGACUUAUUUGCGACAAAAAUUAAAUUUUUUGUGGUUUUUGGCUAUUUUUGCAAAAAGGAAUCGGGGUUGCCUACGUAUCCCAUAUCCGGUGAGAAUCAAACUGGCGUAGUUCGGGCCAAUUUGACAAAACCAACUAUUUUUGAAAACAAAAACUUUUCCUUUUUUUUCAUUUUCCCCUCUUAUUUUUUCUUUUUUUCAAAAAUUUCGGCAGAUUUUCAGUAUGAUUUGGGUAUUGGUUUUUCUUGAAAAAGGUGAUCACCCUCAUUGUGAUAUUCUCUUUUCAACUCUCUCCCAUUAUUUACAAGCCGGUCAACAUGCAUAUCCGAAGUAAAUAAAUGCACAAAUAGCAAGUAAGAUGCAUCAGGAUGGUGUCUUCAUUUCAGGUCACCUGUCCUAGACGAACCGAACUCCUGUGUUGAGUCCCCUAAGUCAAAUGCACGUGAUGCAUACAAACGUACCUACUAGGGAUCUAGCAUGAGGCUUUGUUAUACUAGGUUUACUGUUCUAGACUUGGCUGACCCGAAGGGACAACUCGAGCCGGGAAGGAGGGGGGCAGAGUACUGGGAAUACAAAAGCUUCGCCGGCUUAGCAACUUGUCCGAACCUCGUUCUAAAAUGGGAUUAGACUCUAAACAGAAGAGAAGUCACAUGAAGUGUACCCUUCUCCAUGAUGUAGAAGACAUAGAGAGAGAGGAAGGGUUUCGUAGCAGUUUAUAUAUACAAUUCACCAAAUAUCAAAGCGGUAAAACAUUUAGCACAUUUAGCAUGAAACGUGUAGGAAAAUCACAUAAUAAAUAAGCCAAUCAUAAAAGCUAUUCGAAGCUCGAAUUCAAAGACCCUAAACCGAAGUUCUGGGAUUUUAUGCCCAGCAGAGUCGCCAGAGCUGUCACAUCUCCUUGUUUUACACACCACCCCGAAAGGUAGUGUAAGAGAGUUUUUCCAAUUUAAGUGACAUUUUUCGAAAUGGGAUUAUUUAUUUAAUUUUUUUUCAAAGUCUCAACUUGGGAUAGGUUUAUUUUCUGGUGUCCCAAGUCAAUGGUUUAUUUUAAAUCCCAAAUCGAGGAAAUUUUGAUGUUCCUUUUGAAGUCUGCGAAUAGAAAUUCUGAAUAAGGAGUUCUGUUAACCCGGGAGAAGGUGUUAGACAUUCCCGGAUUUCGUGGUUCUAGCACGACUGCUUAAACUAUUAUAAUUGGCAAUUAUCUGAUUUUAAUACAAGUUCAAACCUAUAGUGCAAUUUUAUGUUAUUUACCGCUUUUAAUAAAUUUUAAGGAAGAUUGAACGUCGUUUAAAACGUGUCUUUUGAUUGCGUCACAUGAAAUGCACCCACAAUCCGACAUACAUUUUAUUCAACAUUUUAUGAUUUGGAUUUGGGUCACAUGAAAUGCACAGCCAAGUUUAAGAAUGUAAGAUUAUUAAAAAAUGCGCCUAAAGCGACUAAUGCGUUGUUAACCUUGCGGGAGACCAAGAAAAUUUACUAAAUGGCACGUCCAGAAUUCUAAAUAUUUUAAGAAACUAAUUUAAACAAGGGCCAUGCAUUUGUGAUUUUAUUUGGCGCGUCGCACCUCAAUUUAUUUUUAAGGACAUUUGAACUAAAAUUCGACUAAUGAGCUAUUAUUAUCUAUUAUGGUUCUCCUCUGUUCUAAUUAAAGGACUUAAAUAAUUAACACUAGGAAAGAGCAUCAAGUUAUUCAUAAAAUUUUGUGCCUCAAGAUCAAGCACAAACUCAAACAAAGACGAUCUCCAUUAUUGAAGAAGCCCUUAAUUCGAGUCUGCCACUUAACUUGAAAGGACCAAUGCCUACAUUUCCAUUUUCAAAACCAUUAAAUCUAAAAAUGAUCCAGGACUUCCAACCUGUUGGGCUCGAGACCAGCCCAGUUCGAAAUGAUGGGAAAUUGGCGAUAACAUUUGAGCUUGUUUAUUAUGUAACUGGGCGAACGUUAGGCCCAGCCGUUAUGGUCCAAAUAGUCCGGUCAAAAGCGAAACAAAAUUAAUACUGAUACACGAACAUGAGAUCAAGACUUGGGUUUCUCAUUUAAGACCUUUGACAUGGAUUAACAUUGAUUCAACUCGUAGGCCAGCUCUUUUAAACUUCAUUUUUAAUAUGUAAAUAGUGGACAAACAACAGUGAUAUACAUGUUUGAAAAAAAUUACAUGAAUGAUUAGAUGUUUAUUUUUUGCAAAUCUCAAAGCUCUAAUCAAAUGACCUCAAGACUAAGCUAUGGAACUAGGCACUGAAUCGUGAACCAUUGCCAAUAUCUAUCAAAUCACAGAAUUAGAGCUAAUAUAAACACAAAUAGUAAUCAUGCAUUCACUUCCAGGUUCACACAAUAUUCUAAACGUAAAAUUCCAAACUCAUUUCUACAUUUGAGCUAACAGGAUUUGCAAAAAGCUAAUCUACACUACUAGAGCUAAAAUAAACGAAUAAGGUAUAAUAUAGUUCAACUGUCCUUAGCUAAUUACAAUGUGAAGAUUUAGCUAAUCAAUGAAAACUAAUUGAACUACACUGAACCAAAAAAAAUGUACGCAAAAUAAAAACAAAUCACCAUGACCAUUAUUUCAUCCUAAAUUGAGAGCUACAUCAUGGGAGAGCUAAGAUUAAUACCUGGAUGUAGAAGAAACAAAGUAAAAGAGCAAGAGGAUGGCUUAAGCAGUAGCAGAAUCAGCCCUAACAAAAUUAUACAAAUCCAAUCCAAACUCAAGAAGAAGAUGCAUCAAUCUAAAGAAUAAAGUUCAUCGAAUAAACCCAUCAGCAAAAUUUUCAAAACUAGUUUUAUACACCCCAAAUCAAACACAUUCUAAACCCUCAAGUUAAUUAGACAGUGUUUUAGCUUGAAAGCUUUAGAAUUCAAGGAAAAGAAAAGGAAUUUAAUGGAAUAGUGAAAUUACAACCAUUCCUUAUUUUUUGUAUUUUAAAGCUCUUCAAAAUAUGAUCUCUAAAACCUUUUCUUACAAGGCAAGAGUGGUAUGCCUUCAUAGGCAAACAGUUAGGGCGAAUUUCAGAAUUUAUUUUGCAUUGUUAGUCCUUUUUAAUUUCUAUUUUUUCUUAAGAAAUCCCCGAAUUACUGACUUGUGGCUCAAGUUAGUACCCUAUGCAGCUUCUAGGAAGUUUCCUAAGCUGUUACACUUAAGAUUCCUCUGUUGAAUUACCCUCAUUACUAUUUAAACUUUUGAAAAUUACUUUGAUGGACCAGCCUGGGUCCAAUUGACUCGAGGCCCAUCAAACCUGGGCUUUCACACUAUUGGGCUGAUACUUUUUUUCCUAAAUGGGUCAUAAGGAUUUAAAAACUCACACAAACUAUCAGCCCUAUUAAGAUUCUGAGCUAAUUAACCGGAAUGCAAUUAUUUUAGCAGUUUGAAUCAUAGACUAUUUAACCUUAUUAAUUCGACCUAAAAUAGCAGACCAAAUCAAUGGAUUAGGGUUACCGAUUGAGGAAACUAUAUGAAGCUAAUCAUGCAUGAAUGAGAUAAUUGUAAAAGAACUAAAACAAAAUUAAGCAAUGAGCAAAACAAUCAUGAAGUUAAAGUAAACUUAUGAAUUAAAUGAAAAUCAAAACAAAACAAAACUAAAGGGAUGUUAAAUUAUUGCUAACCUGGGCAUGCUGAAGUAAAAAAAAAGGUAGGAAAAGAAGUGAAGAAAGGAAUUUUGAGCACACAUGUCUGAGAUAAGCAAAUAAGAACGCAGAAUGGUCCCCUUGAAUUAGCCUUGCUAUAGGUCUAAUUAGACCAUAAUCGUGUGUUCUCGAUGAAAACACGUGACUAAAGUCCAAAUCGAACCCAAACUUCAUCCAACUGAUCGUUUGGAGGGGAAGCUGUGGUGUUAUUUUGGUGGUCAUCGGAGACCCCGUCGCCGCUGUGGAUGAUUUGUCAGUAGGCGGUAGACGGCGAUGGGCGGCGGAGUUAGGGCUGGUCUCUAUGAUUUGGCUAGGUGUGAGAGAGGACAAGGGGGGGGGGAGGAGGUGACAUUUGGACACACACACACACACACACACACACACACACACACACANNNNNNNNNNNNNNNNNNNNNNNNNNNNNNNNNNNNNNNNNNNNNNNNNNNNNNNNNNNNNNNNNNNNNNNNNNNNNNNNNNNNNNNNNNNNNNNNNNNNNNNNNNNNNNNNNNNNNNNNNNNNNNNNNNNNNNNNNNNNNNNNNNNNNNNNNNNNNNNNNNNNNNNNNNNNNNNNNNNNNNNNNNNNNNNNNNNNNNNNNNNNNNNNNNNNNNNNNNNNNNNNNNNNNNNNNNNNNNNNNNNNNNNNNNNNNNNNNNNNNNNNNNNNNNNNNNNNNNNNNNNNNNNNNNNNNNNNNNNNNNNNNNNNNNNNNNNNNNNNNNNNNNNNNNNNNNNNNNNNNNNNNNNNNNNNNNNNNNNNNNNNNNNNNNNNNNNNNNNNNNNNNNNNNNNNNNNNNNNNNNNNNNNNNNNNNNNNNNNNNNNNNNNNNNNNNNNNNNNNNNNNNNNNNNNNNNNNNNNNNNNNNNNNNNNNNNNNNNNNNNNNNNNNNNNNNNNNNNNNNNNNNNNNNNNNNNNNNNNNNNNNNNNNNNNNNNNNNNNNNNNNNNNNNNNNNNNNNNNNNNNNNNNNNNNNNNNNNNNNNNNNNUAUAUAUAUAUAUAUAUAUAUAUAUAUAUAUAUGAAAACCCUAGCUUAUGAGCCGUUAGGACUUCAAACCUCGACGGCUCAGAUCUAUUUCCUACUAACAACGUUGUUUGGGUUGUCUUAGAUGGGGGACCGGGUUAGGGGACUGGUUUGGGCCGAUUCAGGGGGUUUUUGGACGGGUUUUAUUUUGGGCCUGGGUUUUUUGCUUGGGUCAGCCCAAAUUGGGCAUUAUUUAAAGGACUCAUUUUUUCUUUUCUUUUUAUAAAAUUUCUUAUCUUUUCAAAAAUUAAAACAAACUAAAAUUAAGACUAAAAAUAAAAUUAACCUACUUAAUUAUAUUAAGCCCUAAGUAAUAAUUAACUCAAAUAAAUUAAUACCAAUUUGAAAGAAAACUAAAUAGAAUUUGAAGCUAAAAUUAAACAAAGCAAAUAAAUCAAUUUUUUUCACUUUUUGUAUAUUUUUUGUAAAAUCCUAAUUUGCUAAUUGAUCUAAAAAUAUGUAAUAUCAAAUCCUAUAUGCAAAUGCAAUAUUUUGUAUUUUUUUAUGAAUUAUCUAAAUUAAAAAUCCAUACAAAAAUGCAAACAAACACGAAAUUAUACAAUUAAUUCUUGAAAAACCAAAUAAUUAAAAGAAAAAUCCUAAAUCUAUGAAUGUUUGUAGGAGUAAUUCACGCGAGGUAAAAAUCAUGUUCUCAUAGAUCGGAUGACAAAGGUUUUCAUUCCCGCUACCCAAGAACUAUCAACCCUUUGCAAACCCUUCAAGUCGGCUCCCAUUCUUUGAUUACCCUCUUUGGAACAUAAAAUUGUUAUUAAAAAAAUAACAUGAAAAAAAGAGGAAAAAAAAAGAACAAAGAAGAAAAAGAAAAAAUAUUUAAAAAAAAUGAAAAAGAAAAUGAAAAAAAGAAGAGAAAAUAUGAAAAAGAGAAAAAGAGAAAGGAAAAAGGAAAUAAAAGGGAAAGGAGAAAGAAAACAACACAAAAUAAAAGAAAAUCAAAAACACAGUUUUCCCUGAAUUACGUUCAACUUGAUUCUGAAAGGAUACGUAGGCAGCCUCUCUCUGGUGUUCAGUCACACCAAAAUAAAAAUCCAAGGUCCCCCCCGAAAGUGAAACUGGGGCAAAAGUUAUAAUGGUUCGGCGACGGUUCGCCAGAAAGGUUCCUAAGUUGUAAUAUCAUCCCAUCUCUUUCUACCCGAAAUCCUGUGUAAGUUCUUCCGAUCAAUCGAUGAGAAUGAUUCAAGGAUCAGAGAAUGCAUCUGCUUGGAUCCGAUGCAAUCAAAAUGAGAGAAAUAAAAUAAGAGAGUCUUAUUGGUGAAAACCCACACGAGCACCGUGAGGCAACGGUAAGCAGAGAAAUUGAAAUGAGAAAGUCUUGUUAGUGAAAACUCGCAAAGAGCACUAUAAGGCGAUAGUGAGAAGAUAAACGAGAGAGGCCAGCUCGUGAAAACCCGAAAAGGGCAUCCAUGAUUGAAAAGAGGAUCCUCACAGCCACCAGCGCUGGCAAAGUCCUGGCAAGGUUUCUUGAAUUUUUGAGGCAAAAGUUGUGAUGAAUUUCUUAGAGUCGAACAGUUUACACAGAUCAGGCAUCCAGUCCAAAAUUUACAUGUCAUGUUCAUCGAAGUCCGCAUGUACUCCAGAUAAGUCCUUCUUUCCUUUCCCCGAAUGGGAAACUUCUUGUUUUUAAAGUCAUUCUCCAUUCCGUUGUUUAUUUUCUUUGAAUCCCUUUCGGUCUAACACUAUUCCGAAACUAAGACAAAGAAGGGAUGGCAAGACUGACUUAUAGGGCUUUUUUUGACAUAAGCUAUAAUGUGCAAAAGGCACCCAUUCUCGCGAGGGGCAUCAAGUCGACCUCGACUGGUCAUGGUGGCUGAUGUUUUGAAAUUGAAGAACUCCUGAAAAUGAAGGAAACUCAAAGUCAAAUGCCCACAAAAAAAAUGAAGUUAAAAAGUUUAAGUCCCACGUGGUGAAAUGUCUCGGCAAAGAUUUGAAAAGCCAAGGGAUCCCGCUGCUCUGAAAUCAAAGUUAUCGAAAAUGAAAAGAAAUCCAAUUUCAAAAGCCCGUAGAGGAUGAAUAAAGUGAAAGGGCCAAAGCCCCCUACAGGGGAGCCGUCAUGAGAAAAUCUGAAUAGCUGAGUUCCUCAAUUUUAAAAGAGAGAUCAAUCUUCAGACUAGCCAGCAAGAAGCGGAGGUUCUCACCAAAAAUUAGGCCACGAUCUAGUGAUCAAAAAAUCAAGGCCACAAAACCUAACAGCAUUUCAAGCUAACAAUUGUGCUUUGUUUGAACUUUUUGAAACACGUGUAAUCCAAAGCAAUCGUGCAAGAAGCAGGCGCAACCAAAAAGGGAAAUGUUCAAGAGCUAGGAAUAGCUUCGCUGUAAUAAUCAACCCCAAAGGGAAGUUUCUUCCAAAUUCUUUCCUGCAUUUUUACUGAAAAAGAAAAGAAAAAUCCUAAAAAUCGAGGUAGCAUAGGCCCUCCGAUCUCUAGCUACAUCCUUUCUAACGUAGGACCAUAUUCCCUAGUUGUCCCCAUCAUAACCUAUGGACCUCCCCGGCAUAAUCAGAGGAACUUUUUCCUUUACUCCCUGGCAUAACCCGAGGAUCGUUUUCCUUUUGACCCUGGCAUAACCCAAGGACCUUUUUUCUUUUAUCUCAGCAUAACUCAUGGACCUCCCUAGCAUAACCCAAGGACCUUUUUCCUUUUAAUCCUGGCAUAGCCCGUGGAUCUCCCUUGCAUAAUCCAAUGAGCUUUUUCUUUUAUCCCGGCAUAACCCAAGGAACUCUUUUCUUUUAUCCCGGCAUAACCCCUGGACCUCCCUGGCAUAACUCAGGGACCUUUUUACUUUUCUCCAGACAUAACCCAUGGACCUCCCUGGUAUAACCUAAGGACCCUUAUUUUUUAUCCUGGCAUAACCGUGGAUCUCCCUGCAUAAUCCAAGUACCUUUUUUUAUCAAGCAUAACUUGUGGAUCUCCUGGCAUAACCCAAGGACCUUUUCUCUUUUAUCCCGAUAUAACCCGUGGAUCUCCUUGGCAUAACCCAAGGACCCUUUUUCUAUUAUCCCGACAUAACCCAAGGACCCUUUUUCUUUUGUCCAGGCAUAAAUCGUGGACCUCUCUGGCAUAACCCAAGGACCUUUUUCUUUUAUCCCAUCAUAACCUGUGGAUCUUCCUGGUAUAACCCAAGGAACUUUUUCUUUUAUCCAACAUAACCCGUGAACCUCCCUGUCAUAACUCAACGACUUUUUUAUUAUAUCCUGGCAUAACCUGUGGACCUCCCUGGCAUAACCCAAACACCUUUUUUCUUUUCUCCUGUCAUAACCCGUGGACCUCCCUAGCAACCCAAGGAGUUUUUUUUUACUUUUCUCCUGGUAUAACCCAGGGACCUCCCUGGCAUAACCCAGGAAUAUUUUUUUUCUUUUAUCCUGGCAUAACCCGUGGACCUCCUUGGCACAAUUCUAGGGACUUUUUUCUUUUAUCCCGGCAUAACAUAUGGAACUUCUUGGCAUAACCCAAGGAUCUCUUUUCUUUUAUCCCGACAUAAUCCAUGUACCUCCCCAGUAUAACCCGAGGACCCCUUUUUUCUUUUCUGGCACAACCCGGCCAGCUUCCAGCAUAACAUGGCUAUCUUCCCAACUUAGAGCUUCACACCCUAUUCCCAAGGAUACACAGCUCCGAUUUUUUACACUUUCAAUACAGAAAUAACUUUGAUUUGUAUUUCAAAUAACUCGCAUAAUUUUCCUAGUGAAAACUGGGCAGAAAAAUGUUUGUUUGUUUAUUUUGGUGUCUGAGCAGGUUUGACGUCGAGGCACUGGAUUCGAGAUGACAAAAAAAUGAAUCUCAAUCCAAAAUAAAUAAAAGAAGAAAAUGAACAAAAAGAAGUGAACUCAAAGUGCUAAAGUGGAGAAGGAUAUGGACUACUCAUAAUUUGAUUGAAGUCACAAGCUUUACAUGUCCCGCCUUGUUCCAAAAGUUGAAGAAUAAACCAUCGAUUACAGCUAACGAGCAUCAAGAUUUAGACCGGAGUCUGCAGCAAGAACCAGCUAAGACUCAAGAUCAAGUUUCAAGAAAUUUAUAGAUAAGAAUCAUGUAACUCAUAGUGGAUAGGAUUACCUAGAUUAGCUCUUUUAUUUUCUAUUUUGGUGUAAUAAGGAGCUCAGCAAGCAGAAACACCUGCAAAACUGAAAUCACGGCUUCCUGGUAGUCCCAGCUACCAUAACUUCCAGAACUACACUGAUCUAAUUCCUUUAUAGCCAAGGAUCUGUACGCAACCUCUGAAACAAGGUUCGGUCAGACUUUUUUCAAAAAUACUUUUCAUGGAGUUUCAAACUGGCAAAAAUCCCUCAUCUUGCUCACUUUAUCUUUGCCCGAAAACUCUUCAUGUUACCGAGCAAAGAGGGGCAGCAGUAAGCAGGUGAUUUUUGACAUACAAGAAAUACUCCUAUAAAAUCUAUGAAAAUAAUUUUUUUUAUUAAUUAUUGGCCAUUUUAAAGAAAUUUGUAUAUUUUUAUUAAUUGUUUACAUUUUUUUGCUUGUUUAAUUUUUUUUAAAAAUAUCAUGCAUUGCAUUUAGGAUUUAUUUUUUACACUUUUAGAAUUAACCAGUAAUUACUUCUUUUAAUAAAAUUUGAAAAUCACAAAAAAAUAGCUCAUUUUCACAUUUUUAUCUUUAAUUUUUAGUUUAUUGAUUUUCCACUUGUAAUAUAGAUUUGGGUAAUGUAUAUAAUUUUAAUUAUCAGUUAAUUAUUCAAUUACACAUUUAUAGAUAAUUAAGGAUUUUUAAAUUAUUAAGUUUUUAAUUUUUUGAAUAAAAAGAAAGAAAAUAAAAUUUACAAAUAAAGGAAGAAUUAGAAAAAGGAUUACAUUUCUUGAAAUUGGGCCAUUCUUUAUUUCAAAUUUGGCCCAAGACCAAUUACCCAUAUUCCAGCUCAAUUAUUUUAGCCCAAUACCCAUUCUCUACCAUUAAAAUAACCCUAGCUUUAUUUAACCUAGCUAAGACCUAAGGACCAGGAGGAGAUUUCCAGUUAUUAUUGGGAGACCCCUUAGUGGCAUUCUCUGGAAAAGAGCAGGAGAUUAAGAAAAUUCGACCCUCCCGAAAAUAGAGAAACGUCGCUCGCUCUUGGUCCUCAACGGAACAGACCUUUCUUCUUGAGGGAUUUCUUCUUCUUCUUCACUCCUCACCACACACUCCUCUCUUUCACUCUCUCCUAUUAGCAUAUAGAAGCAUCUGGAAUUUCGGAAUGAAAAUCUCGGAUCUGCAAAUUCUGAAGAUGAAAAAGAGAUGCAAAGUUAUUAUUAAUUUUUAACUUUUGUUUCAAGCUUUCUGGAUUUAACAAAAAGAAACUGUCGGUGCAUGAAAAAAUUGUUGUCUCUGCUGGUUCACUGUGGCUGAGUUUGGUUCUUUGGAUUCCAGGCCUUUAUUUGAUUAUUUUUCUCCUAUUUUAUGAUUUAGGUAUGUAAAUAUCAACUAAUCUGUAUUUACUUGAAUAAAAAAAUAAAAUUUGGUUAGUUUGUUUUGAGUUUAACCCCCCAGCUGGGCCCAGGGCGCUCUCCCUGGCAUUGGUGUUUUGGAAUUCACUUGUUUUGGCGCCCCAGGUAAAGCUGGGCACUGGCAUGGGCGCUAUGCACGUU